GACGAACGCUGGCGGCGUGCUUAACACAUGCAAGUCGAACGGAAAGGCCCUGCUUUUGUGGGGUGCUCGAGUGGCGAACGGGUGAGUAACACGUGAGUAACCUGCCCUUGACUUUGGGAUAACUUCAGGAAACUGGGGCUAAUACCGGAUAGGAGCUCCUGCUGCAUGGUGGGGGUUGGAAAGUUUCGGCGGUUGGGGAUGGACUCGCGGCUUAUCAGCUUGUUGGUGGGGUAGUGGCUUACCAAGGCUUUGACGGGUAGCCGGCCUGAGAGGGUGACCGGCCACAUUGGGACUGAGAUACGGCCCAGACUCCUACGGGAGGCAGGAGUGGGGAAUAUUGCACAAUGGGCGGAAGCCUGAUGCAGCAACGCCGCGUGGGGGAUGACGGCCUGCGGGUUGUAAACCGCUUUCGCCUGUGACGAUGCGUGAGUGACGGUAAUGGGUAAAGAAGCACCGGCUAACUCCGUG
RNAcentral lists this ribosomal RNA (468 nucleotides) under uncultured bacterium. RNAcentral describes it as "partial 16S ribosomal RNA". It matches the Rfam family "Bacterial small subunit ribosomal RNA", at positions 28 to 507 of the family's 1533-position model. The record is from RNAcentral.